This 524-nucleotide ribosomal RNA is filed under the name Escherichia coli. RNAcentral's name for it is "bacterial SSU rRNA". It matches the Rfam family "Bacterial small subunit ribosomal RNA", at positions 77 to 597 of the family's 1533-position model. The record is from RNAcentral. Lineage: Bacteria; Pseudomonadati; Pseudomonadota; Gammaproteobacteria; Enterobacterales; Enterobacteriaceae.
UGGGCUCUUUGCUGACGAGUGGCGGACGGGUGAGUAAUGUCUGGGAAACUGCCUGAUGGAGGGGGAUAACUACUGGAAACGGUAGCUAAUACCGCAUAACGUCGCAAGACCAAAGAGGGGGACCUUCGGGCCUCUUGCCAUCGGAUGUGCCCAGAUGGGAUUAGCUUGUUGGUGGGGUAACGGCUCACCAAGGCGACGAUCCCUAGCUGGUCUGAGAGGAUGACCAGCCACACUGGAACUGAGACACGGUCCAGACUCCUACGGGAGGCAGCAGUGGGGAAUAUUGCACAAUGGGCGCAAGCCUGAUGCAGCCAUGCCGCGUGUAUGAAGAAGGCCUUCGGGUUGUAAAGUACUUUCAGCGGGGAGGAAGGGAGUAAAGUUAAUACCUUUACUCAUUGACGUUACCCGCAGAAGAAGCACCGGCUAACUCCGUGCCAGCAGCCGCGGUAAUACGGAGGGUGCAAGCGUUAAUCGGAAUUACUGGGCGUAAAGCGCACGCAGGCGGUUUGUUAAGUCAGAUGUGA